Molecule: ribosomal RNA, 574 nt
Filed under: Cylindrobasidium laeve
Lineage: Eukaryota; Fungi; Basidiomycota; Agaricomycetes; Agaricales; Physalacriaceae
Description: eukaryotic LSU rRNA
Rfam family: Eukaryotic large subunit ribosomal RNA
Source: RNAcentral
GCGAGUGAAGAGGGAAAAGCUCAAAUUUAAAAUCUGGCAGCUUUGCUGUCCGAGUUGUAAUUUAGAGAAGUGAUGCCCGCGCUGGACCGUGUAUAAGUCUCCUGGAAUGGUGCGUCAUAGAGGGUGAGAAUCCCGUCUUUGACACGGACUCCCAGUGCAUUGUGGUACGCUCUCAAAGAGUCGUGUUGUUUGGGAAUGCAGCACUAAAUGGGUGGUAAAUUCCAUCUAAAGCUAAAUAUUGGCGAGAGACCGAUAGCAAACAAGUACCGUGAGGGAAAGAUGAAAAGAACUUUGGAAAGAGAGUGAAACAGUACGUGAAAUUGUUGAAAGGGAAACGCUUGAAGUCAGUCGCAUUGUCUGGGAAUCAGUCUUGCUUUUGCUUGAUGUACUUUCCAGUUAAUGGGUCAGCAUCAGUUUUGAUCGUUGGAUAAAGGCUGAAGGAAUGUGGCAUCUCCGGAUGUGUUAUAGCCUUCAGUUGCAUACAACGGUUGGGACUGAGGAAUUCAGCACGCCGAAAGGCCGGGUCUUGUACCACGUUCGUGCUUAGGAUGCUGGCAUAAUGGCUUUAAUCGAC